AUUGAACGCUGGCGGCAGGCCUAACACAUGCAAGUCGAACGGUAGCACAGAGAGCUUGCUCUCGGGUGCCGAGUGGCGGACGGGUGAGUAAUGUCUGGGAAACUGCCCGAUGGAGGGGGAUAACUACUGGAAACGGUAGCUAAUACCGCAUAAUGUCGCAAGACCAAAGAGGGGGACCUUCGGGCCUCUUGCCAUCGGAUGUGCCCAGAUGGGAUUAGCUAGUUGGUGAGGUAAUGGCUCACAAGGCGACGAUCCCUAGCUGGUCUGAGAGGAUGACCAGCCACACUGGAACUGAGACACGGUCCAGACUCCUACGGGAGGCAGCAGUGGGGAAUAUUGCACAAAGGGCGCAAGCCUGAUGCAGCCAUGCCGCGUGUGUGAAGAAGGCCUUCGGGUUGUAAAGCACUUUCAGCGGGGAGGAAGGCAAUACGGUUAAUAACCGUGUUGAUUGACGUUACCCGCAGAAGAAGCACCGGCUAACUCCGUG
This 487-nucleotide ribosomal RNA is filed under the name uncultured bacterium. RNAcentral describes it as "partial 16S ribosomal RNA". It matches the Rfam family "Bacterial small subunit ribosomal RNA", at positions 30 to 507 of the family's 1533-position model. The record is from RNAcentral.